Long non-coding RNA from Physeter macrocephalus (sperm whale), 469 nucleotides. RefSeq lists it as uncharacterized. The transcript has 3 exons. The record is from RefSeq and is a predicted model, not a curated record. Lineage: Eukaryota; Metazoa; Chordata; Mammalia; Artiodactyla; Physeteridae.
AGUCCCUAAAAAGAAGUAGAUGAAACAAACACACAAAAAAACCAUGCUACUGAUUCAUGCAGAGAAAUGAAGAGAUCCUGAGCAAACGCAUGGGAAUUUUAAAGUGUCAUUAUAAAGAGAGAGGAGAUUCUUUUACAGGAAGUCCAGGGGAUUAGAAAAAAAACGUUAAGUGAUACCACGAGGAAACAAUCGCACAAAUCUAGAAGUUUGGACAUCGUACAAAACAACUGGCCCAGAGUUCUCAACAAGCCAAAGUCAUGUAAAGAAAGAAGGAGGGGGAAAGGGGUCUGUUUCAUAUUAAAAGAGACUUGAAAUCCGUAACAGCAAAAGGCAAUGUGUGUUCCUUGUCUGGAUCCUGAUUUGAAUAAACCAGAUAUAAAAGAAAGUUGGGGGAAAGUCGGGUAUUAGACGAUAAUAGAAAUUAUUGAAAAUUUGUUAGAUUUGUUACCUAGGAGAAUGUUUUUAUUUA